This 74-nucleotide transfer RNA is filed under the name Pleuronectes platessa (European plaice). It matches the Rfam family "tRNA". Rfam says of the family: Transfer RNA (tRNA) molecules are approximately 80 nucleotides in length. Their secondary structure includes four short double-helical elements and three loops (D, anti-codon, and T loops). Further hydrogen bonds mediate the characteristic L-shaped molecular structure. tRNAs have two regions of fundamental functional importance: the anti-codon, which is responsible for specific mRNA codon recognition, and the 3' end, to which the tRNAs corresponding amino acid is attached (by aminoacyl-tRNA synthetases). tRNAs cope with the degeneracy of the genetic code in two manners: having more than one tRNA (with a specific anti-codon) for a particular amino acid; and 'wobble' base-pairing, i.e. permitting non-standard base-pairing at the 3rd anti-codon position. Lineage: Eukaryota; Metazoa; Chordata; Actinopteri; Pleuronectiformes; Pleuronectidae. The record is from Rfam by way of RNAcentral.
GUCUCUGUGGCGCAAUUGAUUAGCUUGUUCGGCUGUUAACCGAAAGGAUGGUGGUUCAAGCCCACCCAGGGACG